Long non-coding RNA from Eriocheir sinensis (Chinese mitten crab), 465 nucleotides. RefSeq lists it as uncharacterized. The record is from RefSeq and is a predicted model, not a curated record. The transcript is spliced from 3 exons. NCBI's taxonomy places the organism in Eukaryota, Metazoa, Arthropoda, Malacostraca, Decapoda, Varunidae.
UGUUUGUUGUAGCAUGUAUCUCCCUGAACGGUAUCGUAGGUAGGUGAGAGGGGAGACGCCUAAGUGUUUGUUGUAGCAUGAAUCUCGCUGAACGGUAUCGUAGGUAGGUGAGAGGGGAGACGCCUAAGUGUUUGUUGUAGCAUGAAUCUCGCUGAACGGUAUCGUAGGUAGGUGAGAGGGGAGACGCCUAAGUGUUUGUUGUAGCAUGAAUCUCGCUGAACGGUAUCGUAGGUAGGUGAGAGGGGAGACGCCUAAGUGUUUGUUGUAGCAUGAAUCUCGCUGAACGGUAUCGUUGGUAGGUGAGAGGGGAGACGCCUAAGUGUUUGUUGUAGCAUGAAUCUCGCUGAACGGUAUCGUAGGUAGGUGAGAGGGGAGACGCCUAAGUGUUUGUUGUAGCAUGAAUCUCGCUGAACGGUAUCGUUGGUAGGUGAGAGGGGAGACGCCUAAGUGCGAGACGUAAACAAA